AGAGUUNGAUCCUGGCUCAGGAUGAACGCUGGCGGCGUGCUUAACACAUGCAAGUCGAACGAAGCAUCACCGACGGAAGCCUUCGGGUGGAAGAUGGUGAUGACUUAGUGGCGGACGGGUGAGUAACGCGUGGGUAACCUGCCUCGUACAGGGGGAUAACAGUUGGAAACGACUGCUAAUACCGCAUAACCCGCCGGAGUCGCAUGACUCAGACGGAAAAGAUUUAUCGGUACGAGAUGGACCCGCGUCUGAUUAGCUUGUUGGUGAGGUAAUGGCUCACCAAGGCGACGAUCAGUAGCCGGCCUGAGAGGGUGAACGGCCACAUUGGGACUGAGACACGGCCCAAACUCCUACGGGAGGCAGCAGUGGGGAAUAUUGCACAAUGGGGGAAACCCUGAUGCAGCGACGCCGCGUGAGUGAAGAAGUAUUUCGGUAUGUAAAGCUCUAUCAGCAGGGAAGAAAAUGACGGUACCUGACUAAGAAGCCCCGGCUAACUACGUGCCAGCAGCCGCGGUAAUACGUAGGGAGCGAGCGUUAUCCGGAAUUACUGGGUGUAAAGGGAGUGUAGGCGGGAUUGUAAGUCAGAUGUGAAAACUUUGGGCUCAACUCAUAGACUGCAUUUGAAACUGCGAUUCUUGAGUGAAGUAGAGGUAAGCGGAAUUCCUAGUGUAGCGGUGAAAUGCGUAGAUAUUAGGAGGAACAUCAGUGGCGAAGGCGGCUUACUGGGCUUUAACUGACGCUGAGGCUCGAAAGCGUGGGGAGCAAACAGGAUUAGAUACCCUGGUAGUCCACGCUGUAAAC
This 801-nucleotide ribosomal RNA is filed under the name uncultured bacterium. RNAcentral's name for it is "bacterial SSU rRNA". It matches the Rfam family "Bacterial small subunit ribosomal RNA", at positions 8 to 807 of the family's 1533-position model. The record is from RNAcentral.